Molecule: ribosomal RNA, 257 nt
Filed under: uncultured bacterium
Lineage: Bacteria
Description: partial 16S ribosomal RNA
Rfam family: Bacterial small subunit ribosomal RNA
Source: RNAcentral
UACGAAGGGGGGCUAGCGUUGCUCGGAAUCACUGGGCGUAAAGGGCGCGUAGGCGGCGUUUUUAAGUCGGGGGGUGAAAGCCUGUGGCUCAACCACAGAAUGGCCUUCGAUACUGGGACGCUUGAGUAUGGUAGAGGUUGGUGGAACUGCGAGUGUAGAGGUGAAAAUUCGUAGAUAUUCGCAAGAACACCGGUGGCGAAGGCGGCCAACUGGACCAUUACUGACGCUGAGGCGCGAAAGCGUGGGGAGCAAACAGG